Molecule: long non-coding RNA, 3741 nt
Filed under: Homo sapiens (human)
Lineage: Eukaryota; Metazoa; Chordata; Mammalia; Primates; Hominidae
Description: HSALNT0276036
Source: RNAcentral
CCCACCCUCAUGGGAGCCAGUGUCACUGCCUCCUGCCUAGACCCUGCAGGGGCUGCUCAGGGACCUUCCCACAAUCCUUCAGGAAUCCCCUCAAAUCCAGGCUCCUAUAAUAGCAGUGAUCUCCCCAAAACACCGGCCAGAGCAGGUCAGCCCAACUGAAAAUCCUCCAGUGAGCUGGGUCCCACAUUCCUUAAGACAAUACCUCCAUGGCUGCUGCCCUAGCACCCUCUGCACCCUUGCCUUUGCUUGUCAUAAUCCCUCACACCCUGGAGGUCUUUGCACACCUGGUUCCUCUGCCUGGACAUACCUGGCUUCCCAGGUGCCUGAGCUAACUCCUGCCCUUGGAUGUCACUUCUCCAGUAUUGCCCCUCUCAGGCCCAGUGACCCACAUGUGCAUUCACUUCCCACCAUGCCUACUCAAAGCCCUUCUUUUGGUGGGAGCUCUGAGGAGGAGGGACAGAGUCUUUUUCUUUUUUUUCAACAGGGUCUUGCUCUGUCGCACAGGCUGGAGUGCAGUGGCAUGAUCUCGGCUCACUGCAACCUGCGAUUCCCGGGUGGCAAGUAAUUCUCCUGCCUCAGCCACCCAAGCAGCCUGUAGUCCACAGGCGUGCGCCACCAUGCCCAGCUAAUUAUUGUAAUUUUAGUAGAGAUGGGGUUUCACCAUGUUGUCCAUGGUUCCAUGGCUGGUCUCGAACUCCUGACCUCAGGUGAUCCACCUCAGCCUCCCAAAGUGCUGGGAUUACAGGCGUGAGCCAUUCCGCCUGGCCAGCAGGGGCUGUUUUGUUUCCUGCUUUCAUUCCAGGGCUGGCACAUGGGAGGCACUCAGCAGAUAAUGUAUCUGAGUUCAUGAGGCCCCUGGAGGUUUGCUUGACUCCAAAGACCCCAGGACCACCAGGGUGUGAGACCAUGGCCAGGAGAAGGGAACUGUCACGUAAGCUAUGAAGCAUAUGUAAUAUUCUUGUGAGCUCCAUCCCCCACCAACCCUGGGCGACCUCUCGGUCUGUCUUUGCCAGGCUGUGAGGUGGAGCAGAAAGGGCCUGACCUAGCGUUCCAGUCUCAACUGUGCCACUGCUGGCUGGCUGUGGGCUGGGCAGCUGACUUCCUCUUGCUGGAAUGAGUCUGGCCAUCCCUAAACAGGGGGACUUUGGUCUGAUUCAGUCAUUCAGUCAACAAAUAUUUCCCAAAAGCCUAGUAAGUGCCUGGUGUGUGUACUGGAGAUACAGCAGUGAAUGACACAAAGUCACUCUCCUGGUGGAUAGCAAAAAUAAGCAAACAUAGCAAAAUAGAGGCCUAGGCUGGGGAAAACAGUGGGGGUGUGCCUUAGAGGGGAUGGGGGAACAGCAUGUGCUAAGGCCCUGAGGUGGGGCAAAUGGGCUUGUGGCAUGCAGGACCCUCCUCCGUAGCCACCUCAUGAACCUGGACAAAGUUCAGAGUCUAAAGAGGAAGAGACUUAUCUCUGCUGUUACUCACUCAUGACACUCAUUCAGCACGUGAAAACCUUGCCCACAUUGUUUCCCCAUCUGGCAGGUCUCUCCUGGACUGUGUGACCAGCUCUGUGUAGAGCCACCCCAGGAGCCCUCCUGCUGUGCCAGCCCCAGUUCCCCUCACUUCCCUGUGUGCGCCAGCUAAGACGGCCACUCACUAGUCCUGGGAUCUGUCCUGGCCUUUCCAACCUACCAGGCUUUGAAUCCCAAGUUCCUCCCUUCCUAUGUCUGACCUUCCCCAGCCUUCAAGGCCUGGCUCAGAGGCCAUUUCCAGGGCCUUCCCUGAUCACAGACUGGCUACACCCUUUCACUCAUCUGUACUUCUCUGGGCUUGAGUUCACACUUUGCCUCCUAGGAUGCGGCCCUUGCAUUGAGCUUGUCUGUGCCCUCCUGUGUUGCUUAUACGUUCCCAAGAGGCAGGGACCUAUCACUGCUCCUGGUGUCUUUCUACUCCAUGUGCAGCAGGGCCCAUGGAAGGCACAAUGGCAUGAGCAAAGCAGGCCACCUGCUAGCUAAGUUGCCUGGCCUCUCUGUGCCUGCUUCUUCCUCUGUGAAAUGGACUACCAGACGCCAGCCUGCAGGGUGAUGUGAACCCUAAGGACAAGAACGUCUAUAAAGCCCUUUGCAGGUGCUAAUAAUGUGAACCUGCCCCCAGCUGGGGCCUGGUAUGCUAAGCCCAGGCUGGACUGAGGCCUCAUUCUCUUCCUUCCUCUUAACCCAGAUGCCUCCAAAAGAUACCCAGGCCGUUCACUCAAGGCGCUCACAUGUUCCCCUGCUAUCACUGCCAAGGAUUCAGUGGCACUGACCCCUGCCUGUCCCUGCCCCAAAUUCCACUCCCAGCACCUCUCCCACCUCUACAUACAGCAGCCGUAGGGAUUCCCAUUCAGUUUCCCACUGCUCUUGGAAUAAGGUUCUCAUCCCUUACCGGGGCCCUGCCUAACCUGGCCCGCCAGCCUCAUCUUGGCUGCCCUCACCUGUGGUCUAGUUAACCUGUGAACUCAUCAAGGCUUCAUUCUACCCCAAGGCAUCUGCACGUGAGGAUCCCUCUGUCUGAAACUCUCUCCCGGCUGCUGUUCUCAAGGUUGUGUCCCUUCUAGUCAUUCAGGUCCCAGCUCAAAAUCUCUUCUUAGAGGUUUUUCUGACUAAGCCUUUGAGAAACGAGGGAACUCUCCUUCACAGCAUCCUAUUCGUUUCCUUCACAGUGCUUGGCAAAAGUAACAAUAGCAUCAAGCCACUCUCUUGAGACGGCAAGCUUCCUGAAGGCAGGUGCUAUGGUAUCCUCUCCAAAAUUUAUGUUGAAACUUAAUCUCCAUUGUGGUGGUAUGAAGAAAUGGGUGCAGAAGAUAUCCACAACCAAAAAUAUAAAUAAAUAAGAAGUGUGGCCUUUUGUGAAGUCAGGAGGGCUCUGCCCUCAUCAGUGAACUAGUGCCUUAUAAAAGGGCUGGAGGAAACUAGCAUAGGCCAUUUUUUUUGCCCUUCUGUUCUUCUGUCAUGUAAAAGCAGUGUUCAUGCCCUUUCUGUUCCUUCCACCAUGUGAGGACACGUAGGUGGCACCAUCUACAAGGAACAGGCCUUUACCAGACACAGAACCUGCCAGCGCCUUGAUCUUGGACCUCAGAGUCUCCAGAACUGUGAAGAAUUAAAUUUCUAGAGCUGGGCACAGUGGCACACACCUGUAAUCCCAACUACUCACGAGGCCAAGGCAAGAGGAGCCAAGGAGUUUCAGACCAGUUCGAGCAAAAUAGUGAGACCUCCAUCUCCAAAAAAGAAAAAAAGAAAUUAAAUUUCUAUUGUUUCUAAAUUACCCAGUCCCAGGUAUUUUGUUAUAGAAGCACAAAUGAACUGAGACAGCAGGAAACUUGCUGAUCUUGUUCACUGUUAUUCUCAGUUGCUGGUGUUGAAUGUUUAAUAGUAACUCAAUAAAUAUUUGCUGGAAGAAAUAAACUUUUUUUAGGCCGUGCACAGUGGCUCACGCCUGUAAUCCAAGCACUUUGGGAGGCCAAGGCAGGCGGAUCACUUGAGGUCAGAAGUUUGAGACCAGCCUGGCCAACAUGGUGAAACCCUGUCUCUACUAAAAAUACAAACAUUAGCCGGGCAGGGGCCAGAGCCUCUUAUCCCAGCUACUCGGGAGGCUGAGGCAGGAGGAUUGCUUGAACCUGGGAGGCGGAGGUUGCAGUGAGCCAAAAUUACGCCACUGCACUACAGCCUGGGCGACAGAGUGAGACUCCAUCUCAAAAAAAAAAAAAGGAAAAGGAAA